UCGUACCCAUAACCGCAUCAGGUCUCCAAGGUUAGCAGCCUCUGGUCGAUAGAAUAAUGUAGAUAAGGGAAUUCGGCAAAAUAGA
RNAcentral lists this ribosomal RNA (85 nucleotides) under Pseudomicrothorax sp. RNAcentral's name for it is "partial ribosomal RNA large subunit". It matches the Rfam family "Eukaryotic large subunit ribosomal RNA", at positions 1842 to 1926 of the family's 3401-position model. Lineage: Eukaryota; Ciliophora; Nassophorea; Microthoracida; Pseudomicrothoracidae. The record is from RNAcentral.